UACAGAGGGUGCAACCGUUGUUCGGAUUUACUGGGCGUAAAGCGCGUGUAGGCGGCUUUGCAAGUCGGAUGUGAAAGCCCACGGCUCAACCGUGGAAGUGCAUCCGAAACUGCAUGGCUCGAGUCUCGGAGAGGAAGGUGGAAUGCUUGGUGUAGAGGUGAAAUUCGUAGAUAUCAAGCAGAACACCUGCGGCGAAGGCGGCCUUCUGGACGAUGACUGACGCUGAGACGCGAAAGCGUGGGGAGCAAACAGG
This 253-nucleotide ribosomal RNA is filed under the name uncultured bacterium. Its description in RNAcentral is "partial 16S ribosomal RNA". It matches the Rfam family "Bacterial small subunit ribosomal RNA", at positions 524 to 776 of the family's 1533-position model. The record is from RNAcentral.